RNAcentral lists this ribosomal RNA (466 nucleotides) under Vreelandella stevensii. Its description in RNAcentral is "partial 16S ribosomal RNA". It matches the Rfam family "Bacterial small subunit ribosomal RNA", at positions 338 to 795 of the family's 1533-position model. Lineage: Bacteria; Pseudomonadati; Pseudomonadota; Gammaproteobacteria; Oceanospirillales; Halomonadaceae. The record is from RNAcentral.
CCUACGGGCGGCUGCAGUGGGGAAUAUUGGACAAUGGGCGAAAGCCUGAUCCAGCCAUGCCGCGUGUGUGAAGAAGGCCUUCGGGUUGUAAAGCACUUUCAGUGGGGAAGAAAGCCUUGGGGCUAAUACCCUCGAGGAAGGACAUCACCCACAGAAGAAGCACCGGCUGAACUCCGUGCCAGCAGCCGCGGUAAUACGGAGGGUGCGAGCGUUAAUCGGAAUUACUGGGCGUAAAGCGCGCGUAGGCGGUCUGAUAAGCCGGUUGUGAAAGCCCCGGGCUCAACCUGGGAACGGCAUCCGGAACUGUCAGGCUAGAGUGCAGGAGAGGAAGGUAGAAUUCCCGGUGUAGCGGUGAAAUGCGUAGAGAUCGGGAGGAAUACCAGUGGCGAAGGCGGCCUUCUGGACUGACACUGACGCUGAGGUGCGAAAGCGUGGGUAGCAAACAGGAUUAGAUACCCGGGUAGUC